This 327-nucleotide ribosomal RNA is filed under the name uncultured eukaryote. Its description in RNAcentral is "partial 18S ribosomal RNA". It matches the Rfam family "Eukaryotic small subunit ribosomal RNA", at positions 1470 to 1796 of the family's 1831-position model. The record is from RNAcentral.
CCCUUAGAUGUUCUGGGCCGCACGCGCGCUACACUGAUUCAUGCAACAAGUUUUGUCCUUGGCUGAUAGGCCUGGGUAAUCUUUGAACGUGAAUCGUGAUGGGGAUAGAUGAUUGCAAUUAUUCAUCUUCAACGAGGAAUUCCUAGUAAACGCAAGUCAUCAGCUUGCAUUGAUUACGUCCCUGCCCUUUGUACACACCGCCCGUCGCACCUACCGAUUGAAUGGUCCGGUGAAAUCUUCGGAUCUGAGAGAUGUCUGAUUAAUUUCGGACGCCUUUUGGAAAAAUUGCUUAAACCUUACCAUUUAGAGGAAGGUGAAGUCGUANCA